Molecule: unclassified non-coding RNA, 345 nt
Filed under: uncultured Mortierella
Lineage: Eukaryota; Fungi; Mortierellomycota; Mortierellomycetes; Mortierellales; Mortierellaceae
Description: sequence contains ITS2
Rfam family: 5.8S ribosomal RNA (bases 1-52)
Source: RNAcentral
AACGCAUAUUGCGCUCUCUGGUAUUCCGGAGAGCAUGCUUGUUUGAGUAUCAGUAAACACCUCAACUCCCCUUUCUUUUUUUGAAAUGGGAGCUGGACUUGAGUGAUCCCAACGCUUUUCCUCACCGAAAAGUGGCGGGUUACUUGAAAUGCAGGUGCAGCUGGACUUUUCUCUGAGCUAAAAGCAUAUCUAUUUAGUCUGCCUAAAAAACAGAUUAUUACCUUUGCUGCAGCUAACAUAAAGGAGAUUGGUUCUUGUGCUGACUGAUGCAGGAUUCACAGAGACAGCUUCGGCUGGCUUUGUAAACUCGAUCUCAAAUCAAGUAAGACUACCCGCUGAACUUAA